CGCUUGUAGAUAUCUUGAGAAACGGAUUGGUGGGUCG
Molecule: non-coding RNA, 37 nt
Filed under: Goniomonas pacifica
Lineage: Eukaryota; Cryptophyceae; Goniomonadida; Goniomonadaceae
Source: RNAcentral